This 290-nucleotide long non-coding RNA is filed under the name Elaeis guineensis (African oil palm). RNAcentral describes it as "long non-coding RNA (EGUI_LNC013062)". The record is from RNAcentral. Lineage: Eukaryota; Viridiplantae; Streptophyta; Magnoliopsida; Arecales; Arecaceae.
UCCUCCGAAUGGGAGGGCCGCUGUCCUUGGUGACAAUUGGAGACCCCAAAAGUUGGGAUUAGACUUUAGAGAGGAAUUCUAGUCCUAGACCCAAGACAUCCGUAUUUUGUAGGGAUUUUGUAGGGAACACUUCUCUGUGUAAAGAAAACGUGUUAUUAGCCAUGCAUCAUGCAAUUUUUUUAGCCAUAUAUCGAACGGAGACGCUUCAACAUAGUGCUCUAUUAAAAAAAAAAAAAAAAAAAAAAAAAAAAAUAUAUAUAUAUAUAUAUAUAUAUAUAUAUAUAUAUAUA